Long non-coding RNA from Octopus sinensis (East Asian common octopus), 179 nucleotides. RefSeq lists it as uncharacterized. The transcript is spliced from 4 exons. Lineage: Eukaryota; Metazoa; Mollusca; Cephalopoda; Octopoda; Octopodidae. The record is from RefSeq and is a predicted model, not a curated record.
GAAAAACAAGUCUAGUGGUGUAGAAAACAAACAGUUGUAUUAACAUAACUUUCGGGAAUUGAAAAAGCAUUUAACGAUUCGAGCCUACACUCUUCCACAGAAAAGAACACAGAAAGAAACAAGGAGAGAAAAUAUGUGUGUAGUGGCUAGCGAUCUAAAAAGUGGUAUCAUCUGUAUUG